CACAGCGGUUAUAAGUGAGGCAACGUGACCUUUGUCGGGGUCCGCAUUACAUCAUCCCAAAGUGACUGUCUGAAAAAUAUGGCUAACGGACGGGAAAGGACUUUUAUGAUAAGCUGAUGAAUAAAAGGGCUAAAGUUGUAGUCAACUGAAGACAAAUGUAACCUCACUGAAUGUGAAGCGGAUAACACAGACAUGAGAGUAUUGUCGCUCGCCCUUGUAAUAUUUCUACCAACAAUUUGUGCUUUCCAUUCAGGGAACGCCAAGCCAAAGGAAAGCGAUGACAAACGGGAUUUUCUCGCUGAUGCUAUGCGUGAGAUGGAAUCUGGUAGAAAAUCGUCGAAUCUAGCAUCUGCUGUCAGAAGAGUUCCAAACGUAAUCAGAGUGGUUAUGAGACCGGAAAUUCCCCCGACCCGUCACCACCACCGUGGACACCGACAUCGACACAAGGGUGGCCUUGCCUCUGUUUUCAAAUUAGCCGAGGGAUUUAACAAACUAUCUAUGCAACUCCCCGGUAGUCUCAGAAACAAGACAGCUCGCUUAUUCAAUACAGCAAACACAUUUAAAGAAACUGUUCGAUUUCUCGAAAGAGUCAAUAACCAACUGGACGAUAUGUCAAAAUCUCAAGACAAGACAAAUAAACUGACAAAAACAGUUAAACCUGCAAACGCUACCCUAAAAGGUGACGACGAAGUCAUGGUGACGGAUUCUUUUCCAUUAUUUCCAGAACUGAGAAGCAUCGUUGAACAUGGGAAGCCAUUUGAUCCGGAUGUAACAAGAGCAGCGUUUGCGAGAGCAAAGCAAAUUGUCUGGGAUACCGUUGGGCAGGAUCCGACAACCACUUCAGAGAUUGGUCACUUGAAUAACACUAAAUUGACUAAUGCUGUAGCUCUGCUUGAAAUGGCUGUCCGAGAGGCCGAGAAAAUGGAAAGAAAUAAGACAAAAACUGUCGAUCAAGAAACAAACCCCAUCAAAAUGAUCCCUAAAACCUCCCAAACCAAUACGAAAGUUAAUCGAUCAAAACAGGAUGCAGUGCAAUUAAAGAUCUUAAAGAAUAUUCUUUUACAGGAACUAAAACAAGCAAACUACACUAAAGAAAAAGCUGGCAUUCUCAUCAGUGAUAUCCCAUUUCAGAAAUUAAGAAACGAAGAGCAAAGCAGCUUAAUGCAAAAACUUUCUCCCUCAACAGCCAAUUCUUCUGUGGAUUCAAACAUGAAUCCCGGCAAAGGAAAGCCAGUCGGUGACACCCAGGCUCUUCUCGAAAACUACACUUCGUUUAUAACCAAUAUAUUGAAGGCUGCCCAUCUUAGUGUUUUAAAGAACUUGACAGGUGCGGAUUCAUCAAGUUCACGGGAAAACAACGCUACAAACUUAAACCGGAACAGCCAACAAUCAAAUACUAAGGAACAAAGUGCGCAAAAUAUUUCUCUUCAGCAGUCAAGUGCAGUCCAACACCUGAAUCCGACAAAGGAGCAGCAAAAGGGGCAGCAGUUAUUCUUUGCAAAUGCAGCACAAGAACAACAACAACAACAACAACAACAGAAGCAACAUCUUCGGCCAGUCAUUUUGUCGAAAGAACGUCUUGCGGCGCGAAAGGCUUUUGGUACAGCGCAAAAGUUGGUUAAAGCAUUCCUAGCACGACAAGAACUCUAUAAAGCAGAGAAUGAGUUCUUCAAUAAGAUUCACGAGAUGUUGAAUAAAACAACUCCAAAUGGUCCUUUGACUGCAGGUCAAGCAAGCGACGCAAAAAAUUCUAAGAUCACUAGUCAGCCCACAGCUGCAAGUCCAAUUCAUUCUCCACUGAGUCAGUCUCCAAUAAACACUGCAAGCAGCUCAUCCACUGACGAAGGAGACAAUCAGAAACAAACAUCGGAGGCCCAGAAAAAGUUUGAAGAGGCAGCUCACCUUGAGGAAAAAGUGGCAGCCCAACAGGAUGAGAUGUACGACGCAUUAAUGGGCCAUACAAUUGGAACUGUUAAGGGUGGGGGAGAUGGGGCAUUUGAUGAGGAAGGAGCCAUUCGCGAAACUCCAGAACAAGACGGAGUAGAAGACUCUUACAACACGGAAGACUAUGGCGAUUUCAAGGAUAGUGAUGAAGAAGCAGAGAAAAAGUUCUACCACGACCAUAGUCAAGGCGAUUUGGAGGCCGACGCAGUGGGGGAAAGUUCUUUAAGCCUUCGUAGCAGAAUCAGCUCAGCGAGGUCAGAACAGUCUGGAAGCGCAGAAUCUAGUGGAGUCGCCAUAACUACGUCUAAAAAAGACAAAACGUUCAAUAAUAAAAACAUUUAUUCCACAACUGAAACGAGUGGAGAAAACUCUGGUGAUGGUAAUACCGGGGAAAAGCAGUUCAAUAUGUACUUGGUUUCAAAUUCCUUCAGAACAAACAGACAUAAAACCUUUCAGAAGAUCGCAAAACCCCUUAGCCAAAGAAGAGAACGAAAAAGGAAGACUCAUUACAAAAAUUGAACUUUUGGCAUACGGUUAACAGAUAACUGAAGGCAGGGUUUUGUAACGUAUUAACAGGCGCAUGUGAAAAAACCGGGUCCUAAAUCAUAACGCCAAUCUCAGGUUGCUAUUUGGAGCAAUUAUUGCUGAGAAAGUUAAAAGGGCCAAUUCCGCAAAAAAUAAAGGAUAUCCGUUGUUCUAGUCACAAAUGUUGUAAAAAAAAUCACUUAUAAUUCAUAAUCAGAGUAGAUGAUCUUUGACGAGAGAUUAAUGUUGGUUGUCAGAGAGCGGCUUACUGGAAGAAGAGUCCACGUGUUUCCUGAAUUAAUCAAAACAGUUACCUAACCGUUAAUGGCUUUAAUGACAUUUCUUCUUUCAAAAAACGCCUGAUUGUUUAGUAUCUAUCAAUAUCAGUGUAACGUCCCUCGCUUACUGUCAUCUUCAGAUAAUUAAGAAACUGAAAAUAGCAGAUGCAUGAUAUUCAAAGUACUCCGCCUUAAAAUGAUAUUUGUUUGUUUGUUUGUUUGUUCUAAGUAAAUAGUAUUAUCAUAAUUUAUACCUGGCGAGGGUUUAUUAGCCAUUAACCUGAAUUAAGCUAAUCCCGGCGCGGAUCGAUGAUUUCUAGUAUAAUGCCUGAAAUAAAAUUUUAUUCUGUGAUA
This 3101-nucleotide unclassified non-coding RNA is filed under the name Orbicella faveolata. RNAcentral's name for it is "formin-J-like, transcript variant X2". Lineage: Eukaryota; Metazoa; Cnidaria; Anthozoa; Scleractinia; Merulinidae. The record is from RNAcentral.